Molecule: ribosomal RNA, 495 nt
Filed under: uncultured bacterium
Lineage: Bacteria
Description: partial 16S ribosomal RNA
Rfam family: Bacterial small subunit ribosomal RNA
Source: RNAcentral
GAUGAACGCUGGCGGCGUGCCUAAUACAUGCAAGUCGAGCGAACGGACGAGAAGCUUGCUUUUCUGAUGUUAGCGGCGGACGGGUGAGUAACACGUGGAUAACCUACCUAUAAGACUGGGAUAACUUCGGGAAACCGGAGCUAAUACCGGAUAAUAUUUUGAACCGCAUGGUUCAAAAGUGAAAGACGGUCUUGCUGUCACUUAUAGAUGGAUCCGCGCUGCAUUAGCUAGUUGGUAAGGUAACGGCUUACCAAGGCAACGAUGCAUAGCCGACCUGAGAGGGUGAUCGGCCACACUGGAACUGCGACCCGGUCCAGACUCCUACGGGAGGCAGCAGUAGGGAAUCUUCCGCAAUGGGCGAAAGCCUGACGGAGCACCGCCGCGUGAGUGAUGAAGGUCUUCGGAUCGUAAAACUCUGUUAUUAGGGAAGAACAUAUGUGUAAGUAACUGUGCACAUCUUGACGGUACCUAAUCAGAAAGCCACGGCUAACUACG